UUCUACAUGAUGAGCUCUAAGCUUUCGCCCCUAUCUGAAAAUAAAGAGAAACUUCCAGUGUUGAAUGCGUGAUUGGUCUUACUGAAAAUCAUUU
Small nucleolar RNA from Drosophila navojoa, 94 nucleotides. RefSeq annotates it as small nucleolar RNA Me28S-Gm1083. The record is from RefSeq and is a predicted model, not a curated record. Lineage: Eukaryota; Metazoa; Arthropoda; Insecta; Diptera; Drosophilidae.